RNAcentral lists this ribosomal RNA (380 nucleotides) under Bacillus sp. (in: firmicutes). RNAcentral describes it as "bacterial SSU rRNA". It matches the Rfam family "Bacterial small subunit ribosomal RNA", at positions 933 to 1312 of the family's 1533-position model. Lineage: Bacteria; Bacillati; Bacillota; Bacilli; Caryophanales; Bacillaceae. The record is from RNAcentral.
UGGAGCAUGUGGUUUAAUUCGAAGCAACGCGAAGAACCUUACCAGGUCUUGACAUCCUCUGACAACCCUAGAGAUAGGGCGUUCCCCUUCGGGGGACAGAGUGACAGGUGGUGCAUGGUUGUCGUCAGCUCGUGUCGUGAGAUGUUGGGUUAAGUCCCGCAACGAGCGCAACCCUUGAUCUUAGUUGCCAGCAUUCAGUUGGGCACUCUAAGGUGACUGCCGGUGACAAACCGGAGGAAGGUGGGGAUGACGUCAAAUCAUCAUGCCCCUUAUGACCUGGGCUACACACGUGCUACAAUGGAUGGUACAAAGGGCUGCAAACCUGCGAAGGUAAGCGAAUCCCAUAAAGCCAUUCUCAGUUCGGAUUGUAGGCUGCAACU